AUUGAACGCUGGCGGCAUGCUUUACACAUGCAAGUCGAACGGCAGCGCGGGGCAACCUGGCGGCGAGUGGCGAACGGGUGAGUAAUAUAUCGGAACGUACCCAAGAGUGGGGGAUAACGUAGCGAAAGUUACGCUAAUACCGCAUACGAUCUAAGGAUGAAAGUGGGGGAUCUUCGGACCUCAUGCUCCUGGAGCGGCCGAUAUCUGAUUAGCUAGUUGGUAGGGUAAAGGCCUACCAAGGCUACGAUCAGUAGCUGGUCUGAGAGGACGACCAGCCACACUGGAACUGAGACACGGUCCAGACUCCUACGGGAGGCAGCAGUGGGGAAUUUUGGACAAUGGGCGCAAGCCUGAUCCAGCAAUGCCGCGUGAGUGAAGAAGGCCUUCGGGUUGUAAAGCUCUUUUGUCAGGGAAGAAACGGCUGAGGUUAAUACCUUUGGCUAAUGACGGUACCUGAAGAAUAAGCACCGGCUAACUACGUG
This 482-nucleotide ribosomal RNA is filed under the name uncultured bacterium. RNAcentral describes it as "partial 16S ribosomal RNA". It matches the Rfam family "Bacterial small subunit ribosomal RNA", at positions 30 to 507 of the family's 1533-position model. The record is from RNAcentral.